UGGUCAUCGGGUACGGCUCCGCCUCGCUGCCCGAGGUGCGGCGCGGCUGCCGGAUCGUGGCCGGCCUGAUCGCC
Molecule: transfer RNA, 74 nt
Filed under: Nonomuraea cavernae
Lineage: Bacteria; Bacillati; Actinomycetota; Actinomycetes; Streptosporangiales; Streptosporangiaceae
Description: tRNA-Leu
Source: RNAcentral